Molecule: long non-coding RNA, 950 nt
Filed under: Homo sapiens (human)
Lineage: Eukaryota; Metazoa; Chordata; Mammalia; Primates; Hominidae
Description: non-protein coding lnc-SLFN5-1:9
Source: RNAcentral
CUGGCCAUCAAGAAGCUACCCUCUCCCCACCAGACAGAGCAGGAUGAGAGUUCUAUAAUCCUCAAUAGGAGGAAGCACUCAAUUGAACAAGUGCAGGAACCAGCUGGCUGCCUCAGCACUGACAGAAGCAAAUUCCAUUUGCUUGGACCCACUGCAUUCCAUCCCUUGUGGAAGAGAGCAUGUAAGCAAGACAGGACCUUCAGGCCUCUGAAAAAAAAAGGAUCAAAGAACUGAAACUCACCAGAUCACCUCACCAGAUGCUGGACCCCUCAUUCACCAUGUUUGCUUCCUUGCCUCUCCCUAGUUCUUAUUUUCUUACACAUUGUUACAUUUCUUCCCUGCUAUAUCAACCCCUAGUUCUAGUCAGUCAUGGAGAUGGAUUUGAGACUGAUCUCCCAUCCCCUCAGCUACACCACCUGAUUAAAGCCUUCUUCCUUGGCAAUAAUCAUUGUCUCAGUCAUUGGCUUUCUGUGCAGGGAGCAGCAGGACCUAGACUAAACCCCUGGUGUUUUGGUAACAAAAUAAGGCCAGGCACAGAAAGACAAACAUCACAUGUUCACACUUAUUUGUGGGAUCUAAAUACCAGAACAAUUGAACUCAUAGAGAUAGAGAGUAGAAGGAUUAUUACCAGAGGCUGGGAAGUGUGGUUGAAGGAGUUGGUGGGCAGUGGGGAUGUAGAAUGUGUCCAAAAAAAGGAAUAGAAUGAAGAAGUCCUAGUAUUUGAUAGCACAACAGGGUGACUAUAGUCAAUAAUCAUUUAACUGUACAUUUUAAAAUAACUUAAAAGGUGUAAUUGGGUUGUUUGUAACACAAAUGAUAAAUGCUUGAAGGAAUUGCUACUCCAUUUUCCAUGAUGUGAUUAUUGUGCAUUGCAUGCCUGUAUCAAAAUGCCUCAUGUACCUCAUAAAUAUAUAUACCUACUAUGUACCCACAAAAAUUUUUUAAGAAAA